CAACAGGGAGGAAAUGGUUGAGGAAGUAAGGGUGACUGGGACCCUGGGUGGCAGUGACCAUGCUAUCAUUGAGUUUUGGAUAACAAAAGGAGGAAGAUCUGAGAGGACUCAGACUUCAAGGUUAGAUUUCAGAGGAGCAGAUUUUGAUGGACUCAGAAGGAGGGUAGGAAGGAUCCAUUGGCUGGAUGUCUUAAAGGACAGAAAUGUCCAGGAAGGAUGGGAAAUUUUGAGAAAGGAGAUUCUAGAGGCACAAUCUUUAACAAUUCCUAAAAGAAAAAAGAAUGGCAAGCAUCUAAAGAGACCAGGGUGGAUGAACCCUGAACUUAAUAACUUGCUAAAAAGAAAAAAAGAAAUGUUUAAAAAAUGGAAAGAAGGGGACAUAUCAAAAGAAGAAUAUAAUGCAAUCUGCAGGAACUGCAGGAUAAGUGUCAGAAAGGCUAAAGCUAAAAAUGAAUUGAGGAUUGCAAGAGAGGCCAAAUGCAAUAAAAAAGGCUUUUGGGGGUAUGUCAGAAGCAAAAGAAAAGUCAAAGAAGCUAUAGGACCUUUACAAAAUGAGAAGGGUGAUUUGGUCAAAAACAAUAUUCAGAAGGCAGAACUUCUGAACUCCUAUUUUGCAUCUGUUUUCUCUCAGAAAGGAAAGGAAACAUCAGUUGGCCUUCACUGUGCUGUUGAGGGAAUAAGAGAAUCAAGGCUCUGUAUGGACAAGGAGAAGGUGAGGGAACACUUAGCAAACUUAAAUGUAUUCAAGUCUCCAGGCCCAGAUGAAUUACAUCCUAGGGUGCUNAAGGAAUUAGCUGAUAUAAUAGCUGAACCACUCUCCGUGAUAUUUGAGAACUCAUGGAUAACAGGAGAAGUCCCAGAAGAUUGGAGAAGGGCAAAUGUUGUACCUAUCUUUAAAAAAGGAAAGAAGGCUGACCCAGGCAACUACAGGCCUGUGAGCCUGACUUCAAUACCAGGCAAGAUAUUUGAACAAAUCAUUAAACAGCACAUAUGGGAGCACUUGGAUGGGAAUGCAGUAAUUAACCAAAGCCAACAUGGAUUUGUAACAAACAAGUCAUGCCAGACUAAUCUUAUUUCCUUUUAUGACAAAAUUACUGGAUGGAUCGAUCAAGGAAAGGCUGUGGACAUAGUAUAUCUUGACUUUAGCAAAGCAUUUGACAAGGUGUCUCAUACUAUACUUAUUGAAAAAAUGAUCAAAUAUGGGAUUGACAGGACAACUGUUAGGUG
RNAcentral lists this long non-coding RNA (1227 nucleotides) under Salvator merianae (Argentine black and white tegu). Its description in RNAcentral is "lncRNA (ENSSMRG00000007191.1)". Lineage: Eukaryota; Metazoa; Chordata; Lepidosauria; Squamata; Teiidae. The record is from RNAcentral.